Molecule: ribosomal RNA, 466 nt
Filed under: uncultured bacterium
Lineage: Bacteria
Description: partial 16S ribosomal RNA
Rfam family: Bacterial small subunit ribosomal RNA
Source: RNAcentral
GACGAACGCUGGCGGCGUGCUUAACACAUGCAAGUCGAACGGAAAGGCCCUGCUUGCAGGGUACUCGAGUGGCGAACGGGUGAGUAACACGUGGGUGAUCUGCCCUGCACUUCGGGAUAAGCGUUGGAAACUGGGUCUAAUACCGGAUAGGAUCCAUCUUUAGUGUGUUGGUUGGAAAGUUUUUUCGGUGUAGGAUGAGCUCGCGGCCUAUCAGCUUGUUGGUGGGGUAAUGGCCUACCAAGGCGGCGACGGGUAGCCGGCCUGAGAGGGUGUACGGCCACAUUGGGACUGAGAUACGGCCCAGACUCCUACGGGAGGCAGCAGUGGGGAAUAUUGGACAAUGGGCGCAAGCCUGAUGCAGCGACGCCGCGUGGGGGAUGAAGGCCUUCGGGUUGUAAACUAAUUUCGCUAGGGACGAAGCUUUUUUGUGACGGUACCUAGAUAAGAAGCACCGGCUAACUCCGUG